This 492-nucleotide ribosomal RNA is filed under the name uncultured bacterium. Its description in RNAcentral is "partial 16S ribosomal RNA". It matches the Rfam family "Bacterial small subunit ribosomal RNA", at positions 29 to 507 of the family's 1533-position model. The record is from RNAcentral.
AGUGAACGCUGGCGGUAGGCCUAACACAUGCAAGUCGAACGGCAGCACAGUAAGAGCUUGCUCUUACGGGUGGCGAGUGGCGGACGGGUGAGGAAUACAUCGGAAUCUACUUUUUCGUGGGGGAUAACGUAGGGAAACUUACGCUAAUACCGCAUACGACCUACGGGUGAAAGCAGGGGAUCUUCGGACCUUGCGCGAUUGAAUGAGCCGAUGUCGGAUUAGCUAGUUGGCGGGGUAAAGGCCCACCAAGGCGACGAUCCGUAGCUGGUCUGAGAGGAUGAGAAGCCAAACUGGAAAUGAGACACGGGCGAGAAAACGACUGGAGGCAGAAGUGGGGAAUAUUGAACAAUGGGCGCAAGCCUGAACAAGCAAUAGUGCGUGAGGGAAGCAGGCAUUCGGGUGGUAAAGUCCUUUGGAUGGAAAAGAAAAGUAGCAGGUGAAUAAGCCGCAGUUAGGAAGGGACCAAAGGAAUAAGCACAGGCUAAUGUAGUG